AUUGUUAAAUUUAGAUCGGUUAUCUAAUCGGUUCGGUUCGGCACACGGUAACCGAUCGGUUAACCGCAAACCAAGAGACCUCUAACCCUAAGACUCUUAUCUCUCUCCCUCGCAGCCUCUCAUUUUUUUCUCUCACGACUUCACUCUCCUUCUCUCACGAUUUCGAAGGAGAAAAAAAAGAGAAACACCAAAUCUCUUCUUAAUCUUCGAUCUCCCUCAUUCAUCUCUAACCUCUGUUUCUUGUAACUCGAUUCCUAAAUUUUCAAAGCCCCAGAUCGAUUCGAAGGAAACUAUCAAAUCGACUCGAACCCUAAACCAUCAAAGUCUCGAAAUUGUAAGAUGUCUUCUGAAGAUUACAUCGACAUGGACUCUGAGCCAAUUCCUCAAGAAUCUGCUAGCACUGGAAACAAAAGGAAAAGGGCUACAACUUGCUAGUGAUGUUGAAAGUGGAAAACAACUUGGGGUUGCCUUAUGAUGUUUUAGAUUGGUGGAGGUGUAAUACGUCAAAGUUCCCCAUAUUAUCUCAACUUGCUAGUGAUGUUCUAGCAAUUCAAGUAUCCUCUGUGGCUUCAAAAUCUGCUUUUAGCACUAGUGGAAGAGUAUUAGAUCCUUAUAGCAGUUCUUUAACUCCGUAUAUGAUCGAGGUUUUACUAUGUCUGCAACAAUGGCUGCGGUGUUCUUAUCAGUCUCAAGCAAAUGUUGCAAACUUGGUGCAAAUGCUGGAAGAAGAGAAUUUUCUUGACUCGCUUGAUUCUCGGAAUUCAAUAGCACCUUCUCAGUGAUCUUCAUCUUGGAAUGAAAUGGAAUGUAUGCAUCGUUGUUUCUUGCCUUGAUAGGAACCAGAAGUUAAAGCCUUGCGCUUGGUAUUUUGCUAUUUUCAUAAGUUGCACUUAUGACUCUCCUCUUUAUUUCAAUAAGACCUUAAUUUGGAUGUUUUGGGUUAUGUUAUGCUUCUCUUAUGAACUUUUACUGCUUAGACUUGAAGUAGAAACUGGUUUGUAAUAUUAUUGUCGUUUUUUGUUGCA
Molecule: long non-coding RNA, 1025 nt
Organism: Arabidopsis lyrata subsp. lyrata
Lineage: Eukaryota; Viridiplantae; Streptophyta; Magnoliopsida; Brassicales; Brassicaceae
Exons: 4
Source: RefSeq, a predicted model, not a curated record